AGAUAGCUUAGUGGUCAAGGCUAUGGAUCGCCAAUCCGGAGACGGCGGGUUCAAUUCCCGUUCU
Aedes albopictus (Asian tiger mosquito) is the source of this 64-nucleotide non-coding RNA. Lineage: Eukaryota; Metazoa; Arthropoda; Insecta; Diptera; Culicidae. The record is from Rfam.